CCCUGAUGCCGAGCCAAAGCUGGACUGUACUGCUGCCAUCUCGGCUCACUGCAACCUCCCUGCCUGAUUCUCCUGCCUCAGCCUGCCGAGUGCCUGCGAUUGCAGGCACGCGCCGCCAUGCCUGACUGGUUUUCGUAUUUUUUUGGUGGAGACGGGGUUUCGCUGUGUUGGCCAGGCUGGUCUCCAGCUCCUAACCGCGAGUGAUCUGCCAGCCUCGGCCUCCCGAGGUGCCGGGAUGGCAGACGGAGUCGCGUUCACUCACUCAGUGUUCAGUGGUGCCCAGGCUGGAGUGCAGUGGCGUGAUCUCGGCUCGCUACAACCUCCACCUCCCAGCUGCCUGCCUUGGCCCCCCAAAGUGCCGAGAUUGCAGCCUCUGCCCGGCCGCCACCCCGUCUGGGAAGUGAGGAGCGUCUCUGCCUGGCCGCCCAUCGUCUGGGAUGUGAGGAGCCUCUCUGCCUGGCUGCCCAGUCUGGAAAGUGAGGAGCAUCUCUGCCCGGCCGCCAUCCCAUCUAGGAAGUGAGGAGCGUCUCUGCCACGCCGCCCAUCGUCUGAGAUGUGGGGAGCGCCUCUGCCCUGCCGCCCCGUCUGGGAUGUGAGGAGCGUCUCUGCCCGGCCGCCCUGUCUGAGAAGUGAGGAGACCCUCUGCCUGGCAACCGCCCCGUCUGAGAAGUGAGGAGCCCCUCUGCCCGGCAGCCACUCCGUCUGGGAAGCGAGGAGCGUCUCCGCCCGGCAGCCACCCUGUCUGGGAGGGAGGUGGGGGUCAGCCCCCCGCCCGGCCAGCCGCCCCGUCCGGAAGGGAGGUGGGGGGGUUAGCCCCCCGCCCGGCCAGCCGCCCCAUCCGGGAGGGAGGUGGGGGGGUCAUCCCCCCACCUGGCCAGCCGCCCCGUCCGGGAAGGAUGUGGGGGGGUCAGCCCCCCGCCCGGCCAGCCGCCCCAUCCGGGAGGUGAGGGGCGCCUCUGCCCGGCCGCCCCUACUGGGAAGAGAGGAGCCCCUCUGCCCGGCCAGCCGCCCCAUCCGGGAGGGAGGUGGUGGGGUCAGCCCCCCGCCCGGCCAGCCGCCCCGUCCGGGAGGUGAGGGGCGCCUCUGCCUGGCCGCCCCUACUGGGAAGUAAGGAGCCCCUCUGCCCGGCCAGCCGCCCCGUCCGGGAGGGAGGCGGGGAGGUCAGCCCCCCGCCCAGCCAGCCGCCCCGUCCGGGAGGGAGGCGGGGGGGUCAGCCCCCCGCCCGGCCAGCCGCCCCGUCCGGGAGGUGAGGGGCGCCUCUGCCCGGCCGCCCCUACUGGGAAGUGAGGAGCCCCUCUGCCCGGCCACCACCCCGUCUGGGAGGUGUACUCAACAGCUCAUUGAGAACGGGCCAUGAUGACAAUGGCGGUUUUGUGGAAUAGAAAGGGGGGAAAGGUGGGGAAAAGAUUGAGAAAUCGGAUGGUUGCCAUGUCUGUGUAGAAAGAGGUAGACAUGGGAGACUUUUCAUUUUGUUCUGUACUAAGAAAAAUUCUUCUGCCUUGGGAUCCUGUUGAUCUGUGACCUUACCCCCAACCCUGUGCUCUCUGAAACAUGUGCUGUGUCCACUCAGGGUUAAAUGGAUUAAGGGUGGUGCAAGAUGUGCUUUGUUAAACAGAUGCUUGAAGGCAGCAUGCUCGUUAAGAGUCAUCACCACUCCCUAAUCUCAAGUACCCAGGGACACAAACACUGCAGAGGGCCGCAGGGUCCUCUGCCUAGGAAAACCAGAGACCUUUGUUCACUUAUCUGCUGACCUUCCCUCCACUACUGUCCUGUGACCCUGCCAAAUCCCCCUCUGCGAGAAACACCCAAGAAUGAUCAAUAAAAAAAAAAAAAAGAAAAUUGGAAAAAAAAAAAAGUUAAAAUGAGGUAUUUAGAGUGGAUCCUCAUCCAAUAUGACUGGUGUUCUCAUAAGAGGGGGAAAUUGGACACAGAGAUGACUAUGUGAGGAUACAGUGAGAAGGUGGCAGCCUUCAAGCCAAAGAGAGAAGUCUCAGAAGGAACCAAACCUGCCGACCCCUUGAUCUCAGGUUUCGAGCUCCCAGACUGAGAAAAUAAUUUUUUUUUCUUUUUUUUUUUCAAGACAGAGUCUUGCUCUGUAGCCCAGGCUGGAGUGCAGUGGCGCAAACUCGGCUCACUGAAACCUCUGCUUCUGGGGUUCAAGCGAUUCUCCUGCCUCAGCCUCCCAAGUAGCUGGGAUUACAGGCAUGUGCCACCAUGCCCAGGUAAUUUUUGUAUUUUUAGUAGAGAUGGUGUUUCACCACGUUGGCCAGAAUGGUCUCAAACUCCUGACCUCAGGUGAUCCACCCGGCUCAGCCUCCCGAAGUGCUGGGAUUACAGGCAUGAGCCACCGCGCCCAGCCAAGAAAAUAAACUUCUAUCAUUAAUGCUACCCAGCCUGUGUUAUUUUGUAACGCCAGCCCUAGCAGACUAACACAGGGACAUCAAAUGCUUCAAAUUUGGCUGGAGAAGAGGAGCAGGCAGGUGGGGUUUACGGUAAUCACCUCCACAGAAAUCAGUACAACAGAGCUGGAACAAGCCAAUUUAGGCUUCAUAAAUUGGAGGGAUUUGAAUCUCAGUUCUCCCCCCUACUCUGUGACCUUAACCUGUUUCCUCAUUUACAAAAUGGAGAAAAUUACAGUACCAUCUUUGUAGAGUUUCUGGGUGGAUUAAAUGAUACAUGCAUUGUGCUGAACACUUCACAUGCACUGACGUACAGUAAGUACUCAGCAGCCAAGUAUUAAUAACACUAAUAAUUAAUAUUAGUAGUGAUAUAGGAGCACAUCCUAGCGGGAGAAAAUGUGUGACCAAGAGGUGGUGUUUGAGGUUACUGAGGAACAAAACAAGCUUCAGUUUCUCAGUCUUUCUAUGUUCACACAGAAACAGGAGCCUCUUAAUGUUCAUUGCCUUUCCCCUCAAGAUAUUCCAAAAAUCAGUGACAACCACAUCUUGUACUAUGUGUAUUCUGGUAAAAUUCUAUCCAUAAAUUACUGAGCAGAAAGAGACAGUUUCACAGGGCCUGCAUGGCAACAUCUGAAGGAAAACAGAAGGCAGCGGUAGUACCCUAGAUACAGAGUAGGGCCUGCUCCCCACCACACUCUCCAAGGCAGCAGCCUAGACAGGUGCAAAUACUGUGCUGAGAGCCUGAGCUCCUGGAGAGCCUGGGCCACACUCUCACUCUGCCCCUGUGACACCUCAGUCAUGCUCCCUCUCUGGGCUCAGUUUCCUCCUCUGCAAACUGAAGCACUGCACUAGCUGAGCUUGGCUGUGCCAAAGAGCCCAAAGACCUUGAUACUUAAGUUCAUCUGCAUCUUUUUGCAGCCUGAUGCUUGCUUCACUGCCCACAUUCAGGCCUCAUGUAUGAAUUAACCAUGCUCCUCUCUGGGUGCUGGCAAUGAG
RNAcentral lists this long non-coding RNA (3395 nucleotides) under Homo sapiens (human). RNAcentral describes it as "HSALNT0361666". The record is from RNAcentral. Lineage: Eukaryota; Metazoa; Chordata; Mammalia; Primates; Hominidae.